UACGUAGGGUGCGAGCGUUGUCCGGAAUUAUUGGGCGUAAAGAGCUUGUAGGCGGUUUGUCGCGUCUGCCGUGAAAUUUCGAGGCUCAACCUCGAACUUGCGGUGGGUACGGGCAGACUAGAGUGUGGUAGGGGAGACUAGAAUUCCUGGUGUAGCGGUGAAAUGCGCAGGAUAUCAGGAGGAACACCGGUGGCGAAGGCGGUUCUCUGGGCAUUGACCUGACGCUGAGGAGCGAAAGUGUGGGGAGCGAACAGG
This 255-nucleotide ribosomal RNA is filed under the name uncultured bacterium. Its description in RNAcentral is "partial 16S ribosomal RNA". It matches the Rfam family "Bacterial small subunit ribosomal RNA", at positions 524 to 776 of the family's 1533-position model. The record is from RNAcentral.